CCUACGGGAGGCAGCAGUGAGGAAUAUUGGUCAAUGGACGAGAGUCUGAACCAGCCAAGUAGCGUGAAGGAUGACUGCCCUAUGGGUUGUAAACUUCUUUUAUAUGGGAAUAAAAUGUUCCACGUGUGGGAUUUUGUAUGUACCAUAUGAAUAAGGAUCGGCUAACUCCGUGCCAGCAGCCGCGGUAAUACGGAGGAUCCGAGCGUUCUCCGGAUUUAUUGGGUUUAAAGGGAGCGUAGGUGGAUUGUUAAGUCAGUUGUGAAAGUUUGCGGCUCAACCGUAAAAUUGCAGUUGAAACUGGCAGUCUUGAGUACAGUAGAGGUGGGCGGAAGUCGUGGUGUAGCGGUGAAAUGCUUAGAUAUCACGAAGAACUCCGAUUGCGAAGGCAGUUCACUGGACUGCAACUGACACUGAGGCUCGAAAGUGUGGGUAUCAAACAGGAUUAGAUACCCGUGUAGUC
RNAcentral lists this ribosomal RNA (460 nucleotides) under uncultured bacterium. Its description in RNAcentral is "partial 16S ribosomal RNA". It matches the Rfam family "Bacterial small subunit ribosomal RNA", at positions 338 to 795 of the family's 1533-position model. The record is from RNAcentral.